UACGGAGGGUGCAAGCGUUAUCCGGAUUCACUGGGUUUAAAGGGUGCGUAGGCGGCUUGAUAAGUCCGUGGUGAAAGCCAACAGCUCAACUGUUGAACUGCCAUGGAUACUGUCAGGCUUGAGUACAGACGAGGUAGGCGGAAUGGAUCGUGUAGCGGUGAAAUGCAUAGAUACGAUCCAGAACUCCGAUUGCGAAGGCAGCUUACUAGGCUGUAACUGACGCUGAGGCACGAAAGCGUGGGGAUCAAACAGG
Molecule: ribosomal RNA, 253 nt
Filed under: uncultured bacterium
Lineage: Bacteria
Description: partial 16S ribosomal RNA
Rfam family: Bacterial small subunit ribosomal RNA
Source: RNAcentral